AGAUACGGCAUCAUUAUGAUGGGGAGGGGAGCGUCCCAAAAGGGUUGAAGCAUGACCGUAAGGAAAUGUGGACAGUAUGGGAGUGAGAAUGUUGGCAUGAGUAGCGAGAUGUGGGUGAGAAUCCCACAGGCCGUAAACCAAAGGUUUCCAGGGGAAGGUUCGUCCGCCCUGGGUUAGUCGGGACCUAAGCUGAGGCCGAAAGGCGUAGGUGAUGGACAACAGGUUGAUAUUCCUGUACUACCGAUAACCGUUUGAGAGAUGG
Molecule: ribosomal RNA, 262 nt
Filed under: Clostridioides difficile
Lineage: Bacteria; Bacillati; Bacillota; Clostridia; Peptostreptococcales; Peptostreptococcaceae
Description: partial 23S ribosomal RNA
Rfam family: Bacterial large subunit ribosomal RNA
Source: RNAcentral